UUAACACAUGCAAGUCGAGGGGCAGCAUGGUCUUAGCUUGCUAAGGCCGAUGGCGACCGGCGCACGGGUGAGUAACACGUAUCCAACCUGCCGUCUACUCUUGGACAGCCUUCUGAAAGGAAGAUUAAUACAAGAUGGCAUCAUGAGUCCGCAUGUUCACAUGAUUAAAGGUAUUCCGGUAGACGAUGGGGAUGCGUUCCAUUAGAUAGUAGGCGGGGUAACGGCCCACCUAGUCUUCGAUGGAUAGGGGUUCUGAGAGGAAGGUCCCCCACAUUGGAACUGAGACACGGUCCAAACUCCUACGGGAGGCAGCAGUGAGGAAUAUUGGUCAAUGGGCGAGAGCCUGAACCAGCCAAGUAGCGUGAAGGAUGACUGCCCUAUGGGUUGUAAACUUCUUUUAUAAAGGAAUAAAGUCGGGUAUGGAUACCCGUUUGCAUGUACUUUAUGAAUAAGGAUCGGCUAACUCCGUGCCAGCAGCCGCGGUAAUACGGAGGAUCCGAGCGUUAUCCGGAUUUAUUGGGUUUAAAGGGAGCGUAGAUGGAUGUUUAAGUCAGUUGUGAAAGUUUGCGGCUCAACCGUAAAAUUGCAGUUGAUACUGGAUAUCUUGAGUGCAGUUGAGGCAGGCGGAAUUCGUGGUGUAGCGGUGAAAUGCUUAGAUAUCACGAAGAACUCCGAUUGCGAAGGCAGCCUGCUAAGCUGCAACUGACAUUGAGGCUCGAAAGUGUGGGUAUCAAACAGGAUUAGAUACCCUGGUAGUCCACACGGUAAACGAUGAAUACUCGCUGUUUGCGAUAUACAGCAAGCGGCCAAGCGAAAGCGUUAAGUAUUCCACCUGGGGAGUACGCCGGCAACGGUGAAACUCAAAGGAAUUGACGGGGGCCCGCACAAGCGGAGGAACAUGUGGUUUAAUUCGAUGAUACGCGAGGAACCUUACCCGGGCUUAAAUUGCAGAUGAAUUACGGUGAAAGCCGUAAGCCGCAAGGCAUCUGUGAAGGUGCUGCAUGGUUGUCGUCAGCUCGUGCCGUGAGGUGUCGGCUUAAGUGCCAUAACGAGCGCAACCCUUGUUGUCAGUUACUAACAGGUUCCGCUGAGGACUCUGACAAGACUGCCAUCGUAAGAUGUGAGGAAGGUGGGGAUGACGUCAAAUCAGCACGGCCCUUACGUCCGGGGCUACACACGUGUUACAAUGGGGGGUACAGAGGGCCGCUACCACGCGAGUGGAUGCCAAUCCCCAAAACCUCUCUCAGUUCGGACUGGAGUCUGCAACCCGACUCCACGAAGCUGGAUUCGCUAGUAAUCGCGCAUCAGCCACGGCGCGGUGAAUACGUUCCCGGGCCUUGUACACACCGCCCGUCAAGCCAUGGGGGCCGGGGGUACCUGAAGUGCGUAACCGCGAGGAGCGCCCUAGGGUAAAACUGGUGACUGGGGCUAAGUCAUAACA
RNAcentral lists this ribosomal RNA (1441 nucleotides) under uncultured organism. RNAcentral's name for it is "SSU rRNA". It matches the Rfam family "Bacterial small subunit ribosomal RNA". The record is from RNAcentral.